GUGAAAAUUUACUCCUUUAAUGAGUUACAGAACAUCUGUUGCUCCACGUUUCUUUAUUCCUUUUUGCAAAUAUAAAUAGUGCGCGGAUGUAUGAUCAUUAAACAACUACGUUGGGGGUGAAUGAUUCCGUAAAAUUUCUGAUUGUGUUUGACGCGAGUAACAACGAUGAAAUAUGUUAUAUUUCUUCUUCUUCUUCUUCUUCUCCUUGAAGGUUAUGCACUAGUAGAGAUCUGCUAUGAAUUAGCCAAGUCAUAUUGUCAUGAAGCUAUCGUAAAAUAUCCCGAAAAGAAGCCGGAUAGACACAUAUGCGAUCGCUUAAAUCAUAUGACGGGUUGUUAUAAUAGGCAACGGAAUCCGUGUGCUUCAUCGAUCAGACAAAUGGCUUACAAACACCUCUGUGGUUUUCUGCUUAAACUGAAACGCACUAUUGCUAUGGGUUCACGGAUUAUACGUCAAGUGAAAUGAUGAAAUGCCGCGUCAGCUGUUACUCGUGAGUCUCACAUGACACUACGAAAGAUACCAAUUGUAAUUGUGAUUUUUUUCCAUCUGGAGAAAUAAACAAUUCAAUAAA
Molecule: long non-coding RNA, 571 nt
Organism: Octopus bimaculoides (California two-spot octopus)
Lineage: Eukaryota; Metazoa; Mollusca; Cephalopoda; Octopoda; Octopodidae
Source: RefSeq, a predicted model, not a curated record